CGCAAUUUUAAACCCAGUAACUUACUGAUGCUUGCAUUAUUACUUGGAAUAUGUACACACCAUCACUAGUUCUUCCAAAGGAAGAAUUUCUCAACCACUUCAUGCGAAAAUCAGACCAGGGAUGAAGCUGAGCCUAAGGAAGACCAGACGGAUGUGAUACUGGUGGGCAGAGGAAAGUGCUAUGAGGCAUCUGCAGCCACUCUGCUAUCUCCUCUAACUGAAGAGCUCAGGAUGCGAGCUGGCACAUUUGAAGGAAGAAGGAACCUGAAAACUGACAUCGCUGACAACACCUGCCUCAGCUUUCUGUGUUCCCAGUGUCGCAGAUACUCUGCAGAGAUUAAAAAGAAUAACGAGAGACCUUGAAACUCUGACCAGCAAGAAAAAA
Molecule: long non-coding RNA, 385 nt
Filed under: Struthio camelus australis
Lineage: Eukaryota; Metazoa; Chordata; Aves; Struthioniformes; Struthionidae
Description: lncRNA (ENSSCUG00000014675.1)
Source: RNAcentral